Molecule: ribosomal RNA, 460 nt
Filed under: uncultured bacterium
Lineage: Bacteria
Description: partial 16S ribosomal RNA
Rfam family: Bacterial small subunit ribosomal RNA
Source: RNAcentral
CCUACGGGGGGCAGCAGUGAGGAAUAUUGGUCAAUGGACGAGAGUCUGAACCAGCCAAGUAGCGUGAAGGAUGACUGCCCUAUGGGUUGUAAACUUCUUUUAUAUGGGAAUAAAACGUUCCACGUGUGGGAUUUUGUAUGUACCAUAUGAAUAAGGAUCGGCUAACUCCGUGCCAGCAGCCGCGGUAAUACGGAGGAUCCGAGCGUUAUCCGGAUUUAUUGGGUUUAAAGGGAGCGUAGGUGGAUUGUUAAGUCAGUUGUGAAAGUUUGCGGCGCAACCGUAAAAUUGCAGUUGAAACUGGCAGUCUUGAGUACAGUAGAGGUGGGCGGAAUUCGUGGUGUAGCGGUGAAAUGCUUAGAUAUCACGAAGAACUCCGAUUGCGAAGGCAGUUCACUGGACUGCAACUGACACUGAGGCUCGAAAGUGUGGGUAUCAAACAGGAUUAGAUACCCCAGUAGUC